This is a non-coding RNA of Pelobates cultripes (western spadefoot toad), 649 nucleotides long. Lineage: Eukaryota; Metazoa; Chordata; Amphibia; Anura; Pelobatidae. The record is from the annotation of a GenBank genome assembly.
CACAAACGUAUUCCUGAUCCUAUAGUGUCAAAACCACCAUCCAGCUCCCUUGGCCCCCCUUAAUAUAGCACAAUCUUACUUUUAUUCCAGUCUGCUGCUGCUGGCCUGCCCCUGAUCUGCCUGCUUGGCUGACAUCAUCAGGAGUGUGGAUCGACGCCAGUCACAAUGCUUUCCCAUAGGAAAGCAUUGGAUUGGCUGAGAUUGUUAAGGAGGCAAGCUAAAGGCAAAUACUGGCAAGCAACAGCCUAAGCCCCCAGCCACAGAUAACACCUCAAUAUAUUCCAAUAUAUCUCUAGGAAACCAGUUGAUGGAGAGUGAAUUAUUUCCUGUGCAAUGCUUAGUGAAUAUUCGCUAGACAUGCAGAGCUAUAAAUAUAUACAGUAACCUAUGGAUGUAUUGCAUACAGAGACGUGGAUUUAAUAACAUAUAUUAUCCUGUAGCAACAGAUAACUGGGCAAGCUUCCCUUGAUGGCUCUUUUGGUGAGAAAUGGCAAGGAAAUCGAGGUGAAGAAUUAAUAAAAGGCCCACAGGUGUAAUUAGUACAUCUGGAGAUACCUUGCCUAACUCUCACCUGCAGUACCAGAGAGAAGGAGACUUGUCAUAGAUACAGGUAAAUAAGGGUUAAAAGGCCUUUUUGCCUUAGUUAAAG